Molecule: long non-coding RNA, 1066 nt
Filed under: Ananas comosus (pineapple)
Lineage: Eukaryota; Viridiplantae; Streptophyta; Magnoliopsida; Poales; Bromeliaceae
Description: long non-coding RNA (ACOM_LNC011948)
Source: RNAcentral
GAAGAGGGUCUUCUUGUGGGGGGGGUGAAAGGCGAGGGAGUCCGCGGUGGAGCGAAGGCGGGCGAUGUAGGUGGCAUAGGUGCUGCUUAGGUAGGGUGAGGGAGAGAAAAAAAGAUGCCUAUGCGACUUUCUAAAUGAUAAUUUACCAUUUGAUUUAUCUUACUAUUCCCUUUUUUUUUCUCAACUAUUUCUCUUCCCGUCAAUUUCUUUUAUUCAUUUGUUAUUAAUUCUCCAUAUUAAUCACCCCAAUUUAAGUUCAAAAUUUAAUUUUAGAUAACGGGUGACCUUCUAAAUUAUCAAUUAGCAAUUUGAUUUAUGAAUGUGUAACUUAAUUAAUGUUUUUUUCUUUUUUAGCAAUGUUUAAUUAGCAAUUGUUCUCAUUUAUAUCUAAAAAUAAAAGUAAGAGAUAUGAUAAAAAGAAGGCAUAGGAAGAAAAAAUAUUUCAUAUUAAUUAAAAAAUAAUGAGCCCCACUACUCACAAAUCAUGAUAACUUUUAAAUAUAACGUAAGAGAGAUGAAAAGAAAAACCGUAGGAAGAGAAAGAAAUAUUAUGGAUUCAUUAUGUUUGGUUCGGUUCAAAGUGGGUUAUUAUUUUUUAGAGAAUUGAUUUGGCUCAAAGUGGGUUUUUAUUUUCUAUCUAUUAAUCUAAGAAUGAAGGGUUUCUUGCCACUUAGCAAGAAACAUUGUGGAUUCAUUAUGUUUAAUAGAUAAUAGAUUCUUCACACCGAUCUUAUCUGGACAAAAUAUGAAUUUCUCCAAUGGUAGCGGCUUUGUGAAAAUAUCAGCCAUCUGCUCAUCGGUUGCACAGUGUAUUAACUCGAGCCCUUCUUAUACAUUUUCGAUCAUCAACUGAACCUAUCCAAUCACUAUUAAAAUAACCAAAAUAAAAAUCGUUAGGGUUAGUAUACCACAACCGGUGGUCUCUUGUUCCUUUCGAAUAUCUCAAUAUCCUUUUAACUUUAUAUUCCCACUUAAAUCCAAUAACUUUUUUCUCUAUAGAUGACUCAACAAACUUGUAAAUAUUAUUUUUCCUUAACACCGCAUUUUCUUUAUUCAUGGCCUUACA